RNAcentral lists this non-coding RNA (31 nucleotides) under Mus musculus (house mouse). The record is from RNAcentral. Lineage: Eukaryota; Metazoa; Chordata; Mammalia; Rodentia; Muridae.
UAGCUAGUAAAUUGCUGCUGGAGACAUAGCC